This 443-nucleotide ribosomal RNA is filed under the name uncultured bacterium. RNAcentral's name for it is "partial 16S ribosomal RNA". It matches the Rfam family "Bacterial small subunit ribosomal RNA", at positions 28 to 507 of the family's 1533-position model. The record is from RNAcentral.
GAUGAACGCUGGCGGCAUGCCUAACACAUGCAAGUCGAUCGGUAAGGCUCUUCGGAGUACAGGAGAGGCGGACGGCUGAGUAACGCGUAGGAACACACCCUGCAGUGAGGGAUAAGACACCGAAAGGUGUUCUAAUACCGCAUACGGUCUUCGGAUUAAAGCAUUUAUGCGCUGAAGGAGUGGCCUGCGUCAUAUUAGAUAGUUGGUGAGGUAAUGGCUCACCAAGUCGAUGAUGUGUAGCUGGUCUGAGAGGAUGAUCAGCCAGACUGGAACUGAGACACGGUCCAGACUCCUACGGGAGGCAGCAGUGAGGAAUAUUUCACAAUGAGCGAAAGCUUGAUGGAGCAAUGCCGCGUGCAGGAUGAAGGCCCUCGGGUUGUAAACUGCUUUUAUAAGAGAAGAUUAUGACGGUAACUUAUGAAUAAGGGACGGCUAACUACGUG